GGCACCGCGAGGAAUGUUCAAGUAUCACUAUGAGUCAUUAAGAAGUGGAGGAGAUUAUAUUUAUAAACUUAAUGUAAUAUGUCUCUCAAAGUACUGAAAUGAGAGUGAUUAUGAUCUUAAAGUUUUGCUUCUUAAAGGCAUAAUCGUUCAACAGUUAUGACUUAAGUGGACUGGGGAAAGUCAACUGUGCAAAAUCACAUUCUGUGGUUGGAUGAAUUUGACCAGCACGCUGAUCCUUCUUAAAGAAGACGGAAAAAACAGAUACUGGGGAUAACUAGUGCUUCUCUUCCGCCAGGUAAUAGAGACAUUAGCAAUAUUAACUUCGGGCCUGGGAGAGGCAAGAUUCCACGAAGCAAGCAAGCAGGAGAGAUCUCUGAAGAGAAGGCAGAGGAGACACUGAGGGAACCCUCUGAGAAAGUGACUGUGGCUUUGCCCUUCUCCUUGGUGGACCGCGACAAGUCUGUGAUUGAUCACUUAAUCACCUGUCCCUUUAAAAUACCAAGUCUUCCCACGGACGGGGACAAGAGGCCGGAUUACCCUGGAGAGCUCUCACUCACGCAAAGGAAAUCCUGUAGGAACUUGAUAAAAAAUCAUUGUGGAUGAUUGAUUUCAUUUAUCAAUACUUUUAAACUUUUUAUUUCAUAAGUUUUCUUUCUUCCCUCUGGAUUCAUGGAGAGCACAUAGUUUAACUCAUCAGAUAUAAAUCUAUAAACCCAGGAUUGAGAGUCUGCUAUAACACAUCCCUCCCAGUCUCUUCCAGAUGUCUUUUUUUUUUUUUUUAAGAUUUUGGUUUUUUAAGUAAUCUCUACACCCAACAUGGGGGCUCAAACUUACAACCUAGAGAUCAAGUCUUGUGCUCUACUGACUGAGCCAGUCAGGCAUUUCCCCUCCCCCUCCACCACUGAUGUUUUUAUGUGCCUGUCCCAACGAUCAGACAGUAUGCCAGGAAGACAAAGUCUCAGUAAUCUCUACUGCUCCUAGAACUCUCUAAAGUGAGUUAAGCUCUUCUGUGAAUGGCCCUCCUAGUUCCUUUUUCUUCAUUUAAGGUCUUGGUAGUAGAGAGAUACUAAGUUUCAAGAUCUUCCUUCUUCCUAGUACUGACUAUUGUCAAGUCCACUUUUAGCACUUCCCAAACUCUGUUUUAUAUUCAGUAUAAAAGAUAUUUAACUUUAAUUCACCUAGUCAACAUUUUUACCACAUUAGAGGGAUGGAAGCCUUCCUACGUUUAUGAAGGGCAACUUAGAAAGUUAGACUAGAACAGGAGACCUAAAAGGAACUUUAGAGAUUAUUUAGUCCAAAUUCCUUAAUUAUAGAGGGGAAGCGAGGCCCAGAGAAGGAAGGUGAUGUGCCCUGGAUUGCACAGCUAAUUAAUAACCAAGUUCAGUAGAAACUCAGGUCUUCUGGUUCACAGAAACACUCCAAGAUCCACCCUGACUCUGGGCAAGCCAGACUCUCCAUGGGCAUGUAGCCCUUACCACAGAUGGGGAGGGCGGGGGACAUUUGCCUGCCCCCUGGCAGGCAUUAAGAUGUCUGGCUUCUCUAUUUCUUCUUGCACCAGAGGUAUAUAAGGAGGGCCAAAGUUUCUGGAAAGACCCUCUGUUCUCUGGAAUGAGGACACACUGUGGUGGCUGCAUGGAGACCUGUCUGGGACAGGCGGAUGGUAUACGAUGUAAGAAGCACAAGGUGGUCCUCACUAGGGUGUCUGGGCCUGCUUCUGGAACAUUCUUGGGUGUCUCUAGUCUUUUCAUGUGGCCUCACAGAAUUAUCCCUGAAGCCAGAGUGGAUUUAAUUUACUUUGGUUUAAUACGACUGUUUUUGGAGGAAAGGAAACAGAUCAAAUUUAAACCAAAAGUUUACUAACAUUUCUGAAAAGCUUGGUGAUUACCAAGCAAGAAAAAUUUGGAUUAAUAGGUAUGGUAGUGUAGCUUUGUCAGGGACAUAAAUACUUAGUACAUUUAACAUGUUUAUUAAUUUCCAGGGUCAUUUUCAUAAAUAGGCAAAACUUCCAUAGAUUCAUAGGAACAUAUGGAUAUAUAGUCAUAUUAUAUUUACAUAAUACACUUAUGUAAUAUAU
This is a long non-coding RNA of Lutra lutra (Eurasian river otter), 2074 nucleotides long. RefSeq lists it as uncharacterized. The record is from RefSeq and is a predicted model, not a curated record. The transcript has 3 exons. Lineage: Eukaryota; Metazoa; Chordata; Mammalia; Carnivora; Mustelidae.